This 1020-nucleotide long non-coding RNA is filed under the name Stegodyphus dumicola. RNAcentral's name for it is "uncharacterized LOC118189838, transcript variant X5". The record is from RNAcentral. Lineage: Eukaryota; Metazoa; Arthropoda; Arachnida; Araneae; Eresidae.
GUCGGGAGCGGUCGGUGACUGAGAACGUAAAACUAGGUUCACUGAAUCAUAAUUUUCAUUUGUUCCACUAGCGUUAGUGUUAUUCUCAAGCACGAUCAACGACUGGAUAUUAUUCGAUCCGAACAUUUGGAAUAACUAUCCAUAAGACUUUUCGACCGAAUUUUGAUAUUGUAUUUACUCGAAUUAAACAACUAAGGGAAAAAAGCGUGGUUAUUCCUAGAGAAAACUUUGAUAUUUGACUAUAAGAAUUAAUUUUUUUGAGAAUGUGCGAUUGGAAAGGUAAAUACUUUAAAGCUCACUGAAGAAUCUACCUGCCUCCUAGGUAUUUUACUUUCAACUCAGUCCUUUAAGUAGAGAUAAAUUGUUUCCUUCUACCUUAUUUACAACUGAACUGGAUCUUCGCCAUUCUUCUUCCGGUAGUCUGAACCAAAGAGGAGGCCCUUCCACCUUCUGGAUUCCUUAAGUUUGGCUGCUAAAUCAUCUCUGGAGGGAAGAUUUGCCGGAUUAUAACGAUGAUGAAGUCCUGUAAGGGCAGGAUGUAAGAGUGGUACAGAAUGCCAUCGGGACAAGAAGAUCCUCUUUUGGAGCACGGAACUUACAAGAAGUCGGGUCACAAGAAUACAAUCCUGCAGACCGUCAAGAAACAGGUUCUGGAUAUUUUGUGACAGCAGCAAACUCGGAAAAUGAAAGUCUUCAGAAGCAACUUAAUCUACUUUCAGCAGGUUAAUUCUGCUAAAAUACCUUUCGAUUUAUAUAACAAAAGAUGUUCCAUCCAUUUUGAUAGCAUUAUUUUUUCCUGGACUGACAGUGACUAAGAAGAAAAUUUUAUUUUAUAUAAACUAAAAAAACUCGAAAUGUGGCUUCGUAUAACUAGACGUUUACCUCAAUCUUUGAAUCGUGUAUUUUUACCAUUGAUAACAAGAGUGGUUUUAUGUUUCAUAUCUUUGAAAGAAAUCCAUUUUCUGAACUUUAAAUUGUGAUAUUGAUUUCCAAGCAAUAAAGAAAGUACAAGAAAACCAA